UACGGAGGGUGCAAGCGUUAUUCGGAAUCACUGGGCGUAAAGGACGCGUAGGCGGGUUGGCAAGUCAGAUGUGAAAUCCUACAGCUUAACUGUAGAACUGCAUUUGAAACUGCUAACCUAGAGUAUGGGAGGGGAAGAUGGAAUUAGUGGUGUAGGGGUAAAAUCCGUAGAUAUCACUAGGAAUACCGAAAGCGAAGGCGAUCUCCUGGAACAUAACUGACGCUAAGGCGUGAAAGCGUGGGGAGCAAACAGGAUUAGAAACCCUAGUAGUCC
RNAcentral lists this ribosomal RNA (273 nucleotides) under uncultured bacterium. RNAcentral's name for it is "partial 16S ribosomal RNA". It matches the Rfam family "Bacterial small subunit ribosomal RNA", at positions 524 to 796 of the family's 1533-position model. The record is from RNAcentral.